Molecule: ribosomal RNA, 408 nt
Filed under: uncultured haloarchaeon
Lineage: Archaea; Methanobacteriati; Methanobacteriota; Halobacteria; Halobacteriales; Halobacteriaceae
Description: bacterial SSU rRNA
Rfam family: Archaeal small subunit ribosomal RNA
Source: RNAcentral
UGGACGGGGAUAAUCUCGGGAAACUGAGGCUAAUCCCCGAUAGGGCUUCCAUCCUGGAGUGGAGGAAGUCCAAAAGUUGCGCUGCGGCACCACAGGAUGUGGCUGCGGCCGAUUAGGUAGACGGUGGGGUAACGGCCCACCGUGCCAGUAAUCGGUACGGGUGAUGAGAGUCAGAGCCCGGAGACGGUAUCUGAGACAAGAUACCGGGCCCUACGGGGCGCAGCAGGCGCGAAACCUUUACACUGCACGACAGUGCGAUAGGGGGAUUCCGAGUGCGAGGGCAUACAGUCCUCGCUUUUCUGGAUCGUAAGGAGAUGCAAGAAUAAGGGCUGGGCAAGACCGGUGCCAGCCGCCGCGGUAAUACCGGCAGCCCGAGUGAUGGCCGAUAUUAUUGGGCCUAAAGCGUCC